CGCUUUCACUCCUACGGGAGGCAGCAGUGGGGAAUAUUGCACAAUGGGCGCAAGCCUGAUGCAGCCAUGCCGCGUGUAUGAAGAAGGCCUUCGGGUUGUAAAGUACUUUCAGCAGUGAGGAAGGUGGAUGCGUUAAUAGCGUAUUCAUUUGACGUUUAGCUGCAGAAGAAGCACCGGCUAACUCCGUGCCAGCAGCCGCGGUAAUACGGAGGGUGCGAGCGUUAAUCGGAAUUACUGGGCGUAAAGCGCAUGCAGGUGGUUUGUUAAGUCAGAUGUGAAAGCCCGGGGCUCAACCUCGGAAUUGCAUUUGAAACUGGCAGACUAGAGUACUGUAGAGGGGGUAGAAUUUCAGGUGUAGCGGUGAAAAUGCGUAGAGAUCUGAAGGAAUACCGGUGGCGAAGGCGGCCCCCUGGACAGAUACUGACACUCAGAUGCGAAAGCGUGGGGAGCAAACAGGAUUAGAUACCCUGGUAG
This 474-nucleotide ribosomal RNA is filed under the name uncultured bacterium. Its description in RNAcentral is "bacterial SSU rRNA". It matches the Rfam family "Bacterial small subunit ribosomal RNA", at positions 328 to 793 of the family's 1533-position model. The record is from RNAcentral.